UUGAUGUUCUAACGUUGACCCGUAAUCCGGGUUGCGGACAGUGUCUGGUGGGUAGUUUGACUGGGGCGGUCUCCUCCUAAAGAGUAACGGAGGAGCACGAAGGUUGGCUAAUCCUGGUCGGACAUCAGGAGGUUAGUGCAAUGGCAUAAGCCAGCUUGACUGCGAGCGUGACGGCGCGAGCAGGUGCGAAAGCAGGUCAUAGUGAUCCGGUGGUUCUGAAUGGAAGGGCCAUCGCUCAACGGAUAAAAGGUACUCCGGGGAUAACAGGCUGAUACCGCCCAAGAGUUCAUAUCGACGGCGGUGUUUGGCACCUCGAUGUCGGCUCAUCACAUCCUGGGGCUGAAGUAGGUCCCAAGGGUAUGGCUGUUCGCCAUUUAAAGUGGUACGCGAGCUGGGUUUAGAACGUCGUGAGACAGUUCGGUCCCUAUCUGCCGUGGGCGCUGGAGAACUGAGGGGGGCUGCUCCUAGUACGAGAGGACCGGAGUGGACGCAUCACUGGUGUUCGGGUUGUCAUGCCAAUGGCACUGCCCGGUAGCUAAAUGCGGAAGAGAUAAGUGCUGAAAGCAUCUAAGCACGAAACUUGCCCCGAGAUGAGUUCUCCCUGACUCCUUGAGAGUCCUGAAGGAACGUUGAAGACGACGACGUUGAUAGGCCGGGUGUGUAAGCGCAGCGAUGCGUUGAGCUAACCGGUACUAAUGAACCGUGAGG
RNAcentral lists this ribosomal RNA (708 nucleotides) under Escherichia coli. Its description in RNAcentral is "partial 23S ribosomal RNA". It matches the Rfam family "Bacterial large subunit ribosomal RNA", at positions 2214 to 2916 of the family's 2925-position model. The record is from RNAcentral. Lineage: Bacteria; Pseudomonadati; Pseudomonadota; Gammaproteobacteria; Enterobacterales; Enterobacteriaceae.